This 658-nucleotide ribosomal RNA is filed under the name Escherichia coli. RNAcentral's name for it is "partial 23S ribosomal RNA". It matches the Rfam family "Bacterial large subunit ribosomal RNA", at positions 612 to 1269 of the family's 2925-position model. Lineage: Bacteria; Pseudomonadati; Pseudomonadota; Gammaproteobacteria; Enterobacterales; Enterobacteriaceae. The record is from RNAcentral.
AUAAUGGGUCAGCGACUUAUAUUCUGUAGCAAGGUUAACCGAAUAGGGGAGCCGAAGGGAAACCGAGUCUUAACUGGGCGUUAAGUUGCAGGGUAUAGACCCGAAACCCGGUGAUCUAGCCAUGGGCAGGUUGAAGGUUGGGUAACACUAACUGGAGGACCGAACCGACUAAUGUUGAAAAAUUAGCGGAUGACUUGUGGCUGGGGGUGAAAGGCCAAUCAAACCGGGAGAUAGCUGGUUCUCCCCGAAAGCUAUUUAGGUAGCGCCUCGUGAAUUCAUCUCCGGGGGUAGAGCACUGUUUCGGCAAGGGGGUCAUCCCGACUUACCAACCCGAUGCAAACUGCGAAUACCGGAGAAUGUUAUCACGGGAGACACACGGCGGGUGCUAACGUCCGUCGUGAAGAGGGAAACAACCCAGACCGCCAGCUAAGGUCCCAAAGUCAUGGUUAAGUGGGAAACGAUGUGGGAAGGCCCAGACAGCCAGGAUGUUGGCUUAGAAGCAGCCAUCAUUUAAAGAAAGCGUAAUAGCUCACUGGUCGAGUCGGCCUGCGCGGAAGAUGUAACGGGGCUAAACCAUGCACCGAAGCUGCGGCAGCGACGCUGAUGCGUUGUUGGGUAGGGGAGCGUUCUGUAAGCCUGUGAAGGUGUGCUGUGAGGC